AGUGAACGCUGGCGGUAGGCCUAACACAUGCAAGUCGAACGGCAGCACAGUAAGAGCUUGCUCUUACGGGUGGCGAGUGGCGGACGGGUGAGGAAUACAUCGGAAUCUACUUUUUCGUGGGGGAUAACGUAGGGAAACUUACGCUAAUACCGCAUACGACCUACGGGUGAAAGCAGGGGAUCUUCGGACCUUGCGCGAUUGAAUGAGCCGAUGUCGGAUUAGCUAGUUGGCGGGGUAAAGGCCUACCAAGGCGACGAUCCGUAGCUGGUCUGAGAGGAUGAUCAGCCACACUGGAACUGAGACACGGUCCAGACUCCUACGGGAGGCAGCAGUGGGGAAUAUUGGACAAUGGGCGCAAGCCUGAUCCAGCCAUACCGCGUGGGUGAAGAAGGCCUUCGGGUUGUAAAGCCCUUUUGUUGGGAAAGAAAAGCAGCAGGUUAAUACCCCGCUGUUCUGACGGUACCCAAAGAAUGAGCACCGGCUAACUUCGUG
This 492-nucleotide ribosomal RNA is filed under the name uncultured bacterium. RNAcentral describes it as "partial 16S ribosomal RNA". It matches the Rfam family "Bacterial small subunit ribosomal RNA", at positions 29 to 507 of the family's 1533-position model. The record is from RNAcentral.